RNAcentral lists this transfer RNA (76 nucleotides) under Caudoviricetes sp. Its description in RNAcentral is "tRNA-Arg". It matches the Rfam family "tRNA". Rfam says of the family: Transfer RNA (tRNA) molecules are approximately 80 nucleotides in length. Their secondary structure includes four short double-helical elements and three loops (D, anti-codon, and T loops). Lineage: Duplodnaviria; Heunggongvirae; Uroviricota; Caudoviricetes. The record is from RNAcentral.
GCGUUCAUAGUUCAACGGAGAGAAUACCUAACUACGAAUUAGGAGAGUAAGAGUUCAAGUCUCUUUGAGCGUUCCA